RNAcentral lists this ribosomal RNA (253 nucleotides) under Rhodococcus (subgen. Prescottella) equi. RNAcentral describes it as "Prescottella equi partial 16S ribosomal RNA". It matches the Rfam family "Bacterial small subunit ribosomal RNA", at positions 1287 to 1533 of the family's 1533-position model. The record is from RNAcentral. Lineage: Bacteria; Bacillati; Actinomycetota; Actinomycetes; Mycobacteriales; Nocardiaceae.
CUCAGUUCGGAUCGGGGUCUGCAACUCGACCCCGUGAAGUCGGAGUCGCUAGUAAUCGCAGAUCAGCAACGCUGCGGUGAUACGUUCCCGGGCCUUGUACACACCGCCCGUCACGUCAUGAAAGUCGGUAACACCGAAGCCGGUGGCCUAACCCUUGUGGAGGGAGCCGUCGAAGGUGGGAUCGGCGAUGGGACGAAGUCGUAACAAGGUAGCCGUACCGGAAGGUGCGGCUGGAUCACUCCUUUCUAAGGAG